Molecule: transfer RNA, 81 nt
Filed under: Desulfonatronospira thiodismutans ASO3-1
Lineage: Bacteria; Pseudomonadati; Thermodesulfobacteriota; Desulfovibrionia; Desulfovibrionales; Desulfonatronovibrionaceae
Source: Rfam by way of RNAcentral
GGAGGGAUGGCCGAGUGGCUGAAGGCGGCGGUCUUGAAAACCGCAGACCAGCAUGAGGGCAAAGCAUUACUCGUCCUGCCU